Molecule: ribosomal RNA, 281 nt
Filed under: uncultured bacterium
Lineage: Bacteria
Description: partial 16S ribosomal RNA
Rfam family: Bacterial small subunit ribosomal RNA
Source: RNAcentral
UGCCAACCCCCGCGGUAACACGAAACGGACAAACGUUAUUCGGGAAUUAUUGGGCUUAAAGGGUGCGUAGGCGGCUUAGUAGGUGGGGUGUGAAAUCCCUCGGCUCAACCGAGGAACUGCGCCCCAAACCCCUAGGCUCGAGGGAGACAGAGGUAAGCGGAACUGAUGGUGGAGCGGUGAAAUGCGUUGAUAUCAUCAGGAACACCGGUGGCGAAAGCGGGCUUACUGGGUCUCUUCUGACGCUGAGGCACGAAAGCUAGGGUAGCGAACAGGAUUAGAUA